AAGUCGAACGGUAACAGGAAGCAGCUUGCUGCUUUGCUGACGAGUGGCGGACGGGUGAGUAAUGUCUGGGAAACUGCCUGAUGGAGGGGGAUAACUACUGGAAACGGUGGCUAAUACCGCAUAACGUCGCAAGACCAAAGAGGGGGACCUUCGGGCCUCUUGCCAUCAGAUGUGCCCAGAUGGGAUUAGCUAGUUGGUGAGGUAACGGCUCACCAAGGCGACGAUCCCUAGCUGGUCUGAGAGGAUGACCAGCCACACUGGAACUGAGACACGGUCCAGACUCCUACGGGAGGCAGCAGUGGGGAAUAUUGCACAAUGGGCGCAAGCCUGAUGCAGCCAUGCCGCGUGUAUGAAGAAGGCCUUCGGGUUGUAAAGUACUUUCAGCGGGGAGGAAGGUGUUGUGGUUAAUAACCGCAGCAAUUGACGUUACCCGCAGAAGAAGCACCGGCUAACUCCGUGCCAGCAGCCGCGGUAAUACGGAGGGUGCAAGCGUUAAUCGGAAUUACUGGGCGUAAAGCGCACGCAGGCGGUCUGUCAAGUCGGAUGUGAAAUCCCCGGGCUCAACCUGGGAACUGCAUUCGAAACUGGCAGGCUUGAGUCUUGUAGAGGGGGGUAGAAUUCCAGGUGUAGCGGUGAAAUGCGUAGAGAUCUGGAGGAAUACCGGUGGCGAAGGCGGCCCCCUGGACAAAGACUGACGCUCAGGUGCGAAAGCGUGGGGAGCAAACAGGAUUAGAUACCCUGGUAGUCCACGCCGUAAACGAUGUCUACUUGGAGGUUGUGCCCUUGAGGCGUGGCUUCCGGAGCUAACGCGUUAAGUAGACCGCCUGGGGAGUACGGCCGCAAGGUUAAAACUCAAAUGAAUUGACGGGGGCCCGCACAAGCGGUGGAGCAUGUGGUUUAAUUCGAUGCAACGCGAAGAACCUUACCUGGUCUUGACAUCCACAGAAGAAUCCAGAGAUGGAUUUGUGCCUUCGGGAACUGUGAGACAGGUGCUGCAUGGCUGUCGUCAGCUCGUGUUGUGAAAUGUUGGGUUAAGUCCCGCAACGAGCGCAAC
This 1054-nucleotide ribosomal RNA is filed under the name Salmonella enterica subsp. enterica serovar Alachua. RNAcentral's name for it is "bacterial SSU rRNA". It matches the Rfam family "Bacterial small subunit ribosomal RNA", at positions 59 to 1102 of the family's 1533-position model. The record is from RNAcentral. Lineage: Bacteria; Pseudomonadati; Pseudomonadota; Gammaproteobacteria; Enterobacterales; Enterobacteriaceae.